This is a non-coding RNA of Gossypium arboreum, 109 nucleotides long. Lineage: Eukaryota; Viridiplantae; Streptophyta; Magnoliopsida; Malvales; Malvaceae. The record is from Rfam.
AACCCAUGGUAAGGGCACCUUCUCAAUAGAUCCUUGUAUCUCUCCCAUGCAUCAUAAAGUGUUUCUAAAUCCAUCUGCACAAAAGAAAAAAAAUAUCAUUCCUUAGUUU